GGGAGACCUUCGGGCCUCUUGCCAUCGGAUGUGCCCAGAUGGGAUUAGCUAGUAGGUGGGGUAACGGCUCACCUAGGCGACGAUCCCUAGCUGGUCUGAGAGGAUGACCAGCCACACUGGAACUGAGACACGGUCCAGACUCCUACGGGAGGCAGCAGUGGGGAAUAUUGCACAAUGGGCGCAAGCCUGAUGCAGCCAUGCCGCGUGUAUGAAGAAGGCCUUCGGGUUGUAAAGUACUUUCAGCGGGGAGGAAGGGAGUAAAGUUAAUACCUUUGCUCAUUGACGUUACCCGCAGAAGAAGCACCGGCUAACUCCGUGCCAGCAGCCGCGGUAAUACGGAGGGUGCAAGCGUUAAUCGGAAUUACUGGGCGUAAAGCGCACGCAAGCCGU
RNAcentral lists this ribosomal RNA (390 nucleotides) under Escherichia coli. Its description in RNAcentral is "bacterial SSU rRNA". It matches the Rfam family "Bacterial small subunit ribosomal RNA", at positions 202 to 579 of the family's 1533-position model. Lineage: Bacteria; Pseudomonadati; Pseudomonadota; Gammaproteobacteria; Enterobacterales; Enterobacteriaceae. The record is from RNAcentral.